This 449-nucleotide ribosomal RNA is filed under the name uncultured bacterium. Its description in RNAcentral is "partial 16S ribosomal RNA". It matches the Rfam family "Bacterial small subunit ribosomal RNA", at positions 29 to 523 of the family's 1533-position model. The record is from RNAcentral.
AACGAACGCUGGCGGCAUGCCUAACACAUGCAAGUCGAACGAGAUCUUCGGGUCUAGUGGCGCACGGGUGCGCAACGCGUGGGAAUCUGCCCUUUGGUUCGGAAUAACAGUUGGAAACGACUGCUAAUACCGGAUGAUGACGAAAGUCCAAAGAUUUAUCGCCAGAGGAUGAGCCCGCGUAGGAUUAGCUAGUUGGUGUGGUAAAGGCGCACCAAGGCGACGAUCCUUAGCUGGUCUGAGAGGAUGAUCAGCCACACUGGGACUGAGACACGGCCCAGACUCCUACGGGAGGCAGCAGUGGGGAAUAUUGGACAAUGGGCGAAAACCUGAUCCAGCAAUGCCGCGUGAGUGAUGAAGGCCUUAGGGUUGUAAAGCUCUUUUACCCGGGAUGAUAAUGACAGUACCGGGAGAAUAAGCUCCGGCUAACUCCGUGCCAGCCGCCGCAGUAA